GAUGAACGCUGGCGGCGUGCUUAACACAUGCAAGUCGAACGGAAAGGCCCAAGCUUGCUUGGGUACUCGAGUGGCGAACGGGUGAGUAACACGUGGGUGAUCUGCCCUGCACUUCGGGAUAAGCCUGGGAAACUGGGUCUAAUACCGGAUAGGACGAUGGUUUGGAUGCCAUUGUGGAGAGUUUUUUCGGUGUGGGAGGAGCUCGCGGCCUAUCAGCUUGUUGGUGGGGUAAUGGCCUACCAAGGCGUCGACGGGUAGCCGGCCUGAGAGGGUGUAGGGACACAUUGAGACUGAGAGACGGCCCGGACUCCGGCGGGAGGCAGCAGUGGGGAAUAUUGGACAAUGGGCUCAAGCCUGAUGCAGCGAGGCCGCGGGGUGGAUGAGGGCCUUUGGGUUGUAAACACCUUUCGCGAGGGACGAAGCGUUUUUGUGACGGUACCUGGAGAAGAAGCACCGGCUAACUACGUG
RNAcentral lists this ribosomal RNA (468 nucleotides) under uncultured bacterium. RNAcentral's name for it is "partial 16S ribosomal RNA". It matches the Rfam family "Bacterial small subunit ribosomal RNA", at positions 28 to 507 of the family's 1533-position model. The record is from RNAcentral.